Molecule: ribosomal RNA, 861 nt
Filed under: uncultured archaeon
Lineage: Archaea
Description: bacterial SSU rRNA
Rfam family: Archaeal small subunit ribosomal RNA
Source: RNAcentral
ACUGCUAUCGGAUUGAUACUAAGCCAUGCGAGUCAUUGUAGUAAUACAAGGCAGACGGCUCAGUAACGCGUAGUCAACCUACCCUAUGGACGGGAAUAACCUCGGGAAACUGAGAAUAAUGCCCGAUAGAACAUUAUGCCUGGAAUGGUUUAUGUUCCAAAUGAUUUAUCGCCGUAGGAUGGGACUGCGUCCUAUCAGUUUGUUGGUGAGGUAAUGGCCCACCGAGACUAUUACAGGUACGGGCUCUGAGAGGAGUGGCCCGGAGAUGGGUACUGAGACACGGACCCAGGCCCUAUGGGGCGCAGCAGGCGAGAAAACUUUGCAAUGUGCGAAAGCACGACAAGGUUAAUCCGAGUGGUUUCUGCUAAAGGAACCUUUUGUCGGUCCUAGAAACACCGAUGAAUAAGGGGUGGGCAAGUUCUGGUGUCAGCCGCCGCGGUAAAACCAGCACCUCAAGUUGUCAGGAUGAUUAUUGGGCCUAAAGCAUCCGUAGCCGGCUCUGUUAGUUUUCGGUUAAAUCUAUACGCUCAACGUAUAGGCUGCCGGGAAUACUGCAGAGCUAGGGAGUGGGAGAGGUAGACGGUACUCGGUAGGAAGGGGUAAAAUCCUUUGAUCUAUUGAUGACCACCUGUGGCGAAGGCGGUCUACCAGAACACGUCCGACGGUGAGGGAUGAAAGCUGGGGGAGCAAACCGGAUUAGAUACCCGGGUAGUCCCAGCUGUAAACUAUGCAAACUCAGUGAUGCAUUGGCUUGUGGCCAAUGCAGUGCUGCAGGGAAGCCGUUAAGUUUGCCGCCUGGGAAGUACGUACGCAAGUAUGAAACUUAAAGGAAUUGGCGGGGGAGCACCACAAGGGGUGAAG